CCGAUUGUCCGAGCUUCCACAGUACCAUCCGGACUUCUCCAAUAAUGAGCUCCUUCAUUCAUCUAUCGGACCGCUUCAAAUGCUGUCAGGGCUUCACUAUCAGUCGAUUUUUUACAGUGAUCGACUACUCUCUGAAUCUCUUUCAGACUUCUUCCUGUCACGAUCGACUACACUCUGAGCUUCUUCCAAACUUCGUCAAUGUCCGAACUUCUCCAGCAGCAGGACUUCUACAGUAGCCAGACUCUGUCUAAGUUUCUACGGUGGUGAACCACCUUCCGA
RNAcentral lists this long non-coding RNA (279 nucleotides) under Elaeis guineensis (African oil palm). RNAcentral's name for it is "long non-coding RNA (EGUI_LNC069984)". Lineage: Eukaryota; Viridiplantae; Streptophyta; Magnoliopsida; Arecales; Arecaceae. The record is from RNAcentral.